GGUCAUUUAGAGGAAGUAAAAGUMGUAACAAGGUUUCCGUAGGUGAACCUGCGGAAGGAUCAUUAUCGUACAAAAUGCGAGAAGGCAUGCGAGGGCUGUCGCUGACUCUCAAAAGUCGUGCACGCCGGAGUGUGUUCUCUCGCAUAAUCAAUCCAUCUCACCCUUUUGUGCAUCACCGCGUGGGCACCCUUCGGGAUUGUCUCGGAGGGGGCUCGCGUUUUCACACAAACCCCCCCUUUUUAAAAGUGUAGAAUGACCUCAUUUAUGCGCUAACCCGCAAUCAAUACAACUUUCAACAACGGAUCUCUUGGCUCUCGCAUCGAUGAAGAACGCAGCGAAAUGCGAUACGUAAUGUGAAUUGCAGAAUUCAGUGAAUCAUCGAAUCUUUGAACGCACCUUGCGCCCCUUGGUAUUCCGAGGGGCACACCCGUUUGAGUGUCGUGAAAACCUCAACCUCCUUGGUUUCUUCUGGAGACCAAAGAAGGCUUGGACUUUGGAGGCCUUUGCUGGCACCUCUCUUUUGAAGGCCAGCUCCUCUUAAACAAAUUAGCAGGGUCCUCUUUGCUGAUCCUUGACAUGUGAUAAGAUGUUUCCAUGUCUUGGUUUCUGGCUCUGUCACCUUUGGGACCCGCUUCUAACCGUCUUGACCUUGCGUCGAGACAACGUUCGAACAUGUCUCCCUUUCUCGGGAAGCUCCCUCGACCCCACGAACCCCUUGACCUCAAAUCGGGUGAGACUACCCGCUGAACUUAAGCAUAUCAAUA
Molecule: ribosomal RNA, 764 nt
Filed under: Lactarius lacunarum
Lineage: Eukaryota; Fungi; Basidiomycota; Agaricomycetes; Russulales; Russulaceae
Description: eukaryotic LSU rRNA
Source: RNAcentral